GACGAACGCUGGCGGCGUGCUUAACACAUGCAAGUCGAACGGAAAGGCCCUGCUUUUGUGGGGUGCUCGAGUGGCGAACGGGUGAGUAACACGUGAGUAACCUGCCCUUGACUUUGGGAUAACUUCAGGAAACUGGGGCUAAUACCGGAUAGGAGCUCCUGCUGCAUGGUGGGGGUUGGAAAGUUUCGGCGGUUGGGGAUGGACUCGCGGCUUAUCAGCUUGUUGGUGGGGUAGUGGCUUACCAAGGCUUUGACGGGUAGCCGGCCUGGGAGGGGGACCGGCCACAUUGGGACGGAGGUACGGCCCAGACUCCUACGGGAGGCAGCAGGGGGGAAUAUUGCACAAUGGGCGGAAGCCUGAUGCAGCAACGCCGCGUGCGGGAUGACGGCCUUCGGGUUGUAAACCGCUUUCGCCUGUGACGAAGCGUGAGUGACGGUAAUGGGUAAAGAAGCACCGGCUAACUACGUA
This 468-nucleotide ribosomal RNA is filed under the name uncultured bacterium. RNAcentral's name for it is "partial 16S ribosomal RNA". It matches the Rfam family "Bacterial small subunit ribosomal RNA", at positions 28 to 507 of the family's 1533-position model. The record is from RNAcentral.